This 200-nucleotide ribosomal RNA is filed under the name uncultured bacterium. RNAcentral's name for it is "partial 16S ribosomal RNA". It matches the Rfam family "Bacterial small subunit ribosomal RNA", at positions 8 to 208 of the family's 1533-position model. The record is from RNAcentral.
AGAGUUUGAUCCUGGCUCAGGACGAACGCUGGCGGCGUGCUUAACACAUGCAAGUCGAGCGGAAAGGCCCUUCGGGGUACUCGAGCGGCGAACGGGUGAGUAACACGUGAGUAACCUGCCCCAGGCUUUGGGAUAACCCUCGGAAACGGGGGCUAAUACCGGAUAUUCAUGUCGGACGGCAUCGUCUGGUGUGGAAAGUU